GAUGAACGCUGGCGGUAUGCUUAACACAUGCAAGUCGAACGGACUCUUCGGAGUUAGUGGCGGACGGGUGAGUAACGCGUGAGAAUCUGGCUUUGGGUUCGGGACAACCACUGGAAACGGUGGCUAAUACCGGAUGUGCCGAGAGGUAAAACAGAAAUUGCCUGAAGAUGAGCUCGCGUCUGAUUAGCUAGUUGGUGAGGUAAAGGCUCACCAAGGCAGCGAUCAGUAGCUGGUCUGAGAGGAUGACCAGCCACACUGGGACUGAGACACGGCCCAGACUCCUACGGGAGGCAGCAGUGGGGAAUUUUCCGCAAUGGGCGAAAGCCUGACGGAGCAGUACCGCGUGAGGGAAGAAGGCUCUUGGGUUGUAAACCUCUUUUCUUAGGGAAGAACAAAAUGACGGUACCUAAGGAAUCAGCAUCGGCUAACUCCGUG
This 435-nucleotide ribosomal RNA is filed under the name uncultured bacterium. Its description in RNAcentral is "partial 16S ribosomal RNA". It matches the Rfam family "Bacterial small subunit ribosomal RNA", at positions 28 to 507 of the family's 1533-position model. The record is from RNAcentral.